This 921-nucleotide ribosomal RNA is filed under the name bacterium enrichment culture clone aHCH4_H6. RNAcentral's name for it is "bacterial SSU rRNA". It matches the Rfam family "Bacterial small subunit ribosomal RNA", at positions 46 to 951 of the family's 1533-position model. The record is from RNAcentral.
GCCUACACAUGCAAGUCGAACGGAGAAUCAGCAAUGGUUCUUAGUGGCGAACGGGUGAGUAACGCGUAGACAACCUGCCUCAAAGAUGGGGACAACACCGCGAAAGUGGUGCUAAUACCGAAUGUUGCAUUGGAUUCGCAUGAAUCUGAUACUAAAGGUGGCCUCUUUAAAUGCUACCGCUUUGAGAUGGGUCUGCGUCUGAUUAGCUAGUUGGUGAGGUAACAGCUCACCAAGGCGAUGAUCAGUAGCCGGUCUGAGAGGAUGAACGGCCACACUGGGACUGAGACACGGCCCAGACUCCUACGGGAGGCAGCAGUGGGGAAUCUUCCGCAAUGGACGAAAGUCUGACGGAGCAACGCCGCGUGAGUGAAGAAGGUUUUCGGAUCGUAAAGCUCUGUCUUUGAGGACGAAUGUGCUUAAUGUAAAUAAUGUUAAGUAAUGACGGUACUCGAGGAGGAAGCCACGGCUAACUACGUGCCAGCAGCCGCGGUAAUACGUAGGUGGCAAGCGUUGUCCGGAAUUAUUGGGCGUAAAGCGCGCGCAGGCGGGAUAUUAAGUCUGUCUUAAAAGUUCGGGGCUCAACCCCGUGAUGGGAUGGAAACUAAUAUUCUUGAGUGCAGGAGAGGAAAGUGGAAUUCCCAGUGUAGCGGUGAAAUGCGUAGAUAUUGGGAGGAACACCAGUGGCGAAGGCGACUUUCUGGACUGUGUCUGACGCUGAGGCGCGAAAGCCAGGGGAGUGAACGGGAUUAGAUACCCCGGUAAAUCCUGGCCGUAAACGAUGGGUACUAGGUGUAGGAGGUAUCGACCCCUUCUGUGCCGGAGUUUACCGCAAUAAGUACCCCGCCUGGGGAGUACGGCCGCAAGGUUGAAACUCAAGGAAUUGACGGGGGCCCGCACAGCGGUGGAGUAUGUGGUUUAAUU